UACGUAGGCGGACUUAUAAGUCAGUGGUGAAAUCUAGCAGCUUAACUGUUAACGUGCCAUUGAUACUGUAGGUCUUGAGUAUAACUGAGGUAGUUGGAAUGCGUAGUGUAGCGGUGAAAUGCUUAGAGAUUACGCAGAACACCUAUUGCGAAGGCAGACUACUAAGUUAUAACUGACGCUGAGGUACGAAAGCGUGGGGAGCGAACAGGAUUAGAUACCCUGGUAGUCC
This 229-nucleotide ribosomal RNA is filed under the name uncultured bacterium. RNAcentral's name for it is "partial 16S ribosomal RNA". It matches the Rfam family "Bacterial small subunit ribosomal RNA", at positions 568 to 796 of the family's 1533-position model. The record is from RNAcentral.